GGGGGGUUGGUGCAAUGGGAGCACAGCGCCUUUGCAAGGCGCAGACAUGGGUUCGAAUCCCAUACUCUCCA
RNAcentral lists this transfer RNA (71 nucleotides) under Anaerolineae bacterium CG2_30_64_16. RNAcentral's name for it is "tRNA-Ala". It matches the Rfam family "tRNA". From Rfam's summary of the family: Transfer RNA (tRNA) molecules are approximately 80 nucleotides in length. Their secondary structure includes four short double-helical elements and three loops (D, anti-codon, and T loops). Further hydrogen bonds mediate the characteristic L-shaped molecular structure. tRNAs have two regions of fundamental functional importance: the anti-codon, which is responsible for specific mRNA codon recognition, and the 3' end, to which the tRNAs corresponding amino acid is attached (by aminoacyl-tRNA synthetases). tRNAs cope with the degeneracy of the genetic code in two manners: having more than one tRNA (with a specific anti-codon) for a particular amino acid; and 'wobble' base-pairing, i.e. permitting non-standard base-pairing at the 3rd anti-codon position. Lineage: Bacteria; Bacillati; Chloroflexota; Anaerolineae. The record is from RNAcentral.